UUCGACUCACCUUUCCAAUUCUAAGCUACAACUACCACAGGAGUUCAACUACACUUCAUUGAAACUACAAGUUUAGAAGAAAUGGAAUCAGAUCCAGAGAUUAACAAUCCGGCUAAUUCAAAUUCAGUUUUUAAUUCAAUACAGUCCAAACAGUGAAUCUAGCUACAAUUAAACAUGAAUAACCAAGCUACAUGUUAACAGUUAAUCAACAAUUCUACAUGAACUCAGACGAACCGCGAACAAUUCUUCAUUUAUGGAUUCCACAGGUGCUUUAUACAAGUGAGUCAGACUUCCAGAUCAAGGGACAAUGGAAGUGUACCUGAAGAUGUGAAAUAUAAGAAUAAGAAGAGGAAAUCAGCAGCAGUAAUCACAGUUAAUACCCAGCAAUCAACAUAUAGCAGCAAUAGACGUGAUUUAGAACCAAAAACUGAUUAACAAAACCCAGGAAUACCACAGCAAUCAAAAACCCAGUAAACUGACCCAAAACUGACUUGUUUGAACUCAAAACCCACUCGAAAUCAAGCCAUGAAUAAUUCUAAACUUCAACUACCAGAAUUUGAGCUAAAAAUGCAAAUCCACAAUCUAAAACUAGAAAUUAGCUAAGAGAUCGAAUGGAACAGUACCCUUUUGAUUUCACUAGAUUUUUGUUGUUUUUAGCUUCUUUUUUUUUUGAAGAAAAUAAGUUCUAAAAGGAGUUUUGGAUUUGAAUUUGAAUUUUCAGAUCUGUAGAGCUUGAAGAGUAUGUAAGGGGAAUUUUGAGGCUUCAAAAAACUUAUUAAUGAAGGCAUUGGGGCUGCCUUUUAUAGGCAACAUGAGAUGAAAUUUCAUAUUUUUUUAGUUUUACAUAUUAGUCUCUCACUUAUUAACUUGUUACUCAAAUUAGUAUACUAUGUUUCUUGCAAUUACAACUAAAGCCCUAGUCUAGAAGGUCCUAGAAGACUCUAACAUUAAUUACCAUGUUCUACUCAAUUCUAAAUGUCUAAACUAGCCCUGAACUUACACCUAAACUAUAGCUAUAACCAAACAAUUUCCAAAGUUCUAAAUUGAACUACUGAAGAGUAAUCCCAACUUAAACUAUUGUUGAAUUUAUCAAGUGAAUCAAUAACCAAAUUAAACUAUCAAUCAUAACAAAAUUCUGCUAAUUACACGACUAAUUAAACUGAAAAUGAACUAACUGGUAAUUAUCCUAAACUAAAGGAAUACCAGAACUUGAUUCAAACAAAAAUAAAACCAACUAACAGAUUAUCACAGGCUUAACUAAAAUCAGGAGUUGGAACAAAUUACAAUCAAACGAAUAACUAGAAUUAAUAAAAACAACUCAGAACACAAGAUUAAAACAUUAUUGACAAAAUUAAAACACACAUUAGACUGGAAAUUAAUCAUAGUGAGAAAUGAGCAAUAGAAGACAACUAAACAAAGAAAAGAAAAGAAAAUUGAAACUCACUGGCAUAACUUAAAAAUUCGGCUGCCUCUCGAUUUAAAAUUUGGGUGAUUCUGAUGCUAUUUGAAUGUCGUAGACACCGGAUUCUUUGUGAAGAUGAUGAGGAGAACUUAUGGUAUUGAUUUGGUAGGGUUUGGAAGAAUAAGGGUUUUGCCGGAAAUUUUAAAUUGAAAUUCGAUAGGUUCUGUCUAGAUUUGAGGGACGGGGCUUGGGGGCUCGAAAUAGGAAGGGGAGAGGAAUCUAUGGUGUUAUUUUGGAGUGGUUUGGGAAGAAUUGUGUUCUGACCAGAAAACUUCAAUCCCAGAUUCAAAACGUUUGGAUAGGAUUUGAAGGAAACGGGUUGUGGAUAUGGAAAGAGGAGGAAGAGAGGAGUGAAGGGUGUAUCUUUGGAGUGGUUUGGAGAAGGGUCGCCGGCGGCGAUGAUUUUCGACCGGUGGCAUUACACUGGGUGUUUUGAGAGGGUAUGGG
This 1909-nucleotide long non-coding RNA is filed under the name Nicotiana benthamiana. RNAcentral describes it as "long non-coding RNA (NBEN_LNC040336)". Lineage: Eukaryota; Viridiplantae; Streptophyta; Magnoliopsida; Solanales; Solanaceae. The record is from RNAcentral.